RNAcentral lists this ribosomal RNA (484 nucleotides) under uncultured bacterium. Its description in RNAcentral is "partial 16S ribosomal RNA". It matches the Rfam family "Bacterial small subunit ribosomal RNA", at positions 28 to 523 of the family's 1533-position model. The record is from RNAcentral.
GAUGAACGCUGGCGGCGUGCUUAACACAUGCAAGUCGAACGGAAACAGGAUGAAGCCUAGCGAUUCCUGUUUUAGUGGCGGACGGGUGAGUAACGCGUGGGUAACCUGCCUUACACUGGGGGAUAACAGUUAGAAAUAGCUGCUAUUACCGCAUAAGCGCACAGGGCCGCAUGGCCUGGUGUGAAAAACUCCGGUGGUGUAAGAUGGACCCGCGUCUGAUUAGCUAGUUGGUGAGGUAACGGCCCACCAAGGCGACGAUCAGUAGCCGGCCUGAGAGGGUGAACGGCCACAUUGGGACUGAUACACGGCCCAAACUCCUACGGGAGGCAGCAGUGGGGAAUAUUGCACAAUGGGGGAAACCCUGAUGCAGCGACGCCGCGUGAGUGAAGAAGUAUUUCGGUAUGUAAAGCUCUAUCAGCGAGGAAGAAAAUGACGGUACUUGACUAAGAAGCCCCGGCUAACUACGUGCCAGCAGCCGCAGUAA